GAUAUUCCAAGCAAGUGAGCCCUGAGACUGCAAGCAGCUCUAAGAAGUUCCGCAUUGAUCAGGUCUUCCCUUUUGAGAAUCUGGAUAAGCUCCAACCAAUCUAAAAGGAUGGUUUGCAGACUGUCUGGAGAAAAAGAUCUUCCUCAGAAGAAUAGGCUUGUUGCCUUACAGUGUUAGUGACUCAUUCCCUUUGAUGAUCCUUAGGUGGAGAUGGGGCAUGAGGAUCCUCCAGGGGAAAAGCUCACUACCACUGGGCAACAACCCUAGGUCAGGAGAUUCUACUAAGAUUCUUUCCUGGGUCCAGAUAGGAAGAUGAAGUCUCAAGACAACCACCACACAUCUGAGGAAAACAGGGACAACAACUGCCAUAUCUUACAUUCAUCAUGACAUUCAUCAUGAGCAGAUCAUAAUUCUGGACCCUUUGAUCCCCAAAGCCUCCCUUGAGGCCCUGUUGGAGAACUUCACCAAUCAUUUAUAUACUUCAAGAUGCCUUGGGAUAACUGGACAAAACAAAAAAACAACCUGUUUGAGAAGAUAAAACAGUUGUAUCUUUUUAUGCUGUGCCUGCUAAUUGAAAGAAGCCUCAUAACUAUGAAUGUGAACCUGACUAGGAAUGGAACAAAGUUAUCUAUCAUCAGCCUGGAUCUAAAGAAUCAGGACCCUGCAUACUCUAGCUCCUGAUUGUUCCCUUCAUAUUUGCCAAAUCGUUAUCUUUCUAAGAAGCAGUGUAGAGAGCAAGAAAUUUGAACACACCAAAGGAAGAUCAACAUGCCUGGCGGUCUGGCAUUUUAAAACAGGAUGAAGUAAGUUGUUAGUGGUGUAAUCCUGUAUGAAUCACUUUAGAGCUAAUAGCUUUUUGUUGGAGGUUUGUGUGGGAUGGGGUAUGGUGAUCUAACUUGGAAGGGGAGCAAAAUGUGAGAUGGGAGGAUGGCUAGUAACCUGUUAUCAACUGGAUUCACUGAAGCAACACAAAGGUAAUACAGUCAGUGUACUAGUUGUGUCACAGAGUAAUUUAGUCUCACCUUGUCUGUUCUUCAUGUUCACUGCAUAGAUUUUUUUGCCACCCUUAGAAGCCUUAACAAAUAGAAAAUUAAACCAAAACAAUGGUUUUGUUUUUUUGCUGAAAGGGUGUCCCUUUCUAACCUCCUUUUGUGAGAGAAUCUGUGGUUAAGAUUUAGUAUUAAAGAAAAUCCAGUCCCUGAAGCUGACACUGUAAUUGUAAAGGGUGUGAAAAUCAAGGCAGUUUUCUAAAGGGGUGAAGAUAUAAAGUGAGGGGAUUGAUUAGGUGCUCUCUAAGGGCCCUUUAUUAAAAUAUUCACUCAUCUGUGGCACCUAGGAAACAAGUCAGUUAGUUGAAUGUUUAAAUCCUCUGCCACUCAUUAGGUGAAGAGCCUGUGGCAGUUUAGAGUCUAAUUAGACUUGUCUGUUUGUGAAGGUUAAAUAAAAUAAUAUAUGGAAAGAGCUUCA
Molecule: long non-coding RNA, 1467 nt
Filed under: Sus scrofa (pig)
Lineage: Eukaryota; Metazoa; Chordata; Mammalia; Artiodactyla; Suidae
Description: lncRNA (ENSSSCG00070028133.1)
Rfam family: X-chromosome inactivation gene exon 4 (bases 141-266)
Source: RNAcentral